CAGAGGAAAAUUGUGCAAAUUAGAUGUAAAGAAUAUUACAAGGCUUCUGUGAAAUUGCUACGGACAGGGGCAUUUCUAGGUUUUAUAAAACAUAAGCGGCUGAGCACAAAACAUUAGGGUCUGGGGGUGGGUGAUAAGAUAACAUGAUUUGCAAGAGCAAUUUUUUGCAAUAUUGUUUAUUGGUAAACACAAAGUAAUACAAAUUAAUCAUAUGUAACUUUAUUUACAACUCUCAAUUCUCUUCAUUCAGUUUUGCCUCAUGUUUCUUAUCUAUCCUGUUACUAAUAAAAACUGCUGCUGAGGUCUAUAAACUGAUUAUGUUUGUUAUGACUGUUACAGCUAGUGGUUAAACAUUUUAUUUAGACCAAAUAGCACUAAUAAUCCUCCUCCUGUUGGAUUUUAAAUGUCAUUGAUCGAUUUUGAACUUAAAUACUGCUUUUUAUAAAACAAAGUAAUUUGCUUCUUAUGCCUUAGUGCUUUAUCUUCUGUAAGUGCAGAAAAUGUAUGUCUUUUAUUUUGUAUUGUUUUUGUAUGUAUCACGCACAGGUAGGUGUAGGUAUUUACGUAAUAGUGUUUCCUGUUUUUUGAAAGUAGUGCUUAGAGAGGGGGUGAGUGAGUGGGAACGCUCACUUUCUGUUGACCGUUUUAAUCAUUCUCAACGUGUCUACAGUUUCAAGUGUUUUCUCUGAUGGACUUUAUUCAACACAACAUCAAUAAAUGUGCAUGGUUUUAAAUGCAUGGAAACGAAACGCGUCACAGAGUUUGUCCUGCUGCUUAGCCUCUCAGCGGCUAAAGGUUGCCGCUAUAUCUUCUUUUUAGAGCUGGGUAAUAUCUUACAGAUUUAAAUCUAGCUAUAUUGUAUUUAGGGGUUGCAUGGCUUGACGCUUACUUUUUUCCCAAGGAGCACACGUGCUCGUAAGUUGAAAAAUUUAAGAAGGCAUUAAAAACUUUAGGGGUGCAAUACAAAUUUUUCAAAUGUGUUUUAGCUUAAUGAGGGGGAGAGAGACAUUAUAAGGAGAAUACAAAAAGUAUGGUUUUUAAAUAUUUCUGCUUCAAACUGUUUUUAAUUAUUUAUAUUAUUUAUAGUCCUACUUUAAACUGUAUAUAUAGGCAUGUGGUAUCAAAUUUUUAUUUAACCAUAAUUGCUGAAGCUUUUAUCAUGGAAGCCUAUAUGGUAUCACAUAUUGAAUUAGGUUAGAAUAAAGUGUUGUCUUCCAAACAGGUUUAAUAACUUUUUUCUUACAACAAAAAGAAUUCUGAAUAUUUAAAUAUAUACAAUAAAACAAUACACACACAAAAAAAAUGAUAAAGCAAACAAAUCUAGAGUAAUUAUUUAAUUUAUAACAGUAACAAGUGUUUGUCUAUUAACAGAACUUAGUGUACUCACAUACUAUUCUUAUAAAAAAUAAAUAAAUAAAUAAACAAACUGAAUUACUGGAUAUUAUUCCAAAGACCACAGAAACAAAGCUUCAUACACGCAAAAAUAAAUAAAUAAAUAAAAUUAAAUCCAUGCAUUUCAUAUAGGCUAAUCGUUCUAACAAAUGAUACUACAUUCCUUGAAGGGAUUAUAUGAUUACAGACGGCGGAUCUAUAGUGAUCGCUACUGCCUGUAUGCGUUACAUUUGUCUUUAUAGAACGAGUGUAGCCAAAUGUCUGUCGCCAGAACUAUGAGUCCAUUAUGAAGACUAAUCAUGGUUUUACUACAGUAAAGAACCAUGUUUACACAGAACCAUGUUUAGCAUGCCUGUAGCCAAAUGAACAUGUUGGUAAACACUACAAGUGUUAAAGAAUAAUCUACAAUGAUCACAUAAACCCCAACAAACACCAACAUUCGAAGUUCACUGGUGGGUUUAAAGAUGUUUGUCGUAUAAAUUUGAAUUAGCAAUUAGGAACUGGCUAGCAGAGCCAAACAGCGUUGCCCUUUGUUUAUGUCUUUGCUACAACAUAAAAAUAACUAUUAUAGAAAACACAUCACCAAAGAAUAAAACAUACUUGCAGGUUGUGGUAACAUGGCCACACGCCGGGUAAAAGUUUUUCCGGUAACAAUGAUAGAUAGCCGAGCGUAAGAACCAGUCCGGGAAUUAAGUCUUUUUACGAAUUAAAAUGUCAUGAAAAUGCUUGAACGGUCUUGGUGAUUUAUUGGUGAGACUACAGAGCUCUAAUAAAGAGCUAAAUUUAAGAACUAAUUUGAAGUGAAUUGGGAUGCAUUGGGAUGCAGGGAGUGUUUUACAUGAAGUGCUGGGGAAAUAAUCGGCUGGCAGCUCCUUAUCACGCAGACAUGAUCCUCUGAUUCAUAAUGAGAAGCAAGAUGCUCCUGGGAUGUUUCUAGACCUCUGCCAUAUCUCAAUGAUAUUUCAAUUCACUCACAUUUUCCUGUCGUCAUCAUCUUAAAGUCUGUAAAAUGCACAGUAGGGGAGAGUGGGGUAAGAUGAGCCAGUGGGUAAGUUGACCCACCCCCUGUAUCUUGGCAACCGUACCAUUUUAUUGUCAUAUGAACAUAUAUUUUAGAACCAUCCAUCAUUUCUGCCAGACUGUGAAAAGGAGAAACACAUGGGAGGAGUGGAAGUCACUUAUUUACUUUAAAAACUGUUUUUGGCUUGUCAAAGUAAAAUUUUAACAUAACAGAUGUAAUGGCUGUUUCAAAAAAAAAAAAAAAGCAAAUUUGUCCAGGUCUAAAAAUAUUUAUGAUGCAUAUUGGUGAUUUAGCAACGUAUAAAACCAUGCAAGUCAUUUAGCUAAAUAUUAUUCUGAAUUGGUAAUCUAGGUAGCUUUUCCUAAAAUGGCAGCUAUGAGGCAAAGUGAGCCAAAUGAUGUGGGGUAUAUUGAGCCAGCAUUUUAACUUACCCCACCAUAAGGCAGUAAAUUUUAGUUAAAUCUGAACUAUAAACUGGUGUAAUUUCAAUGUAAUAUUACGCAACUGGUUUAGUUUAUCUUUAUUUUCGAGUUUAUUUGAUAGGAACAGUGUACAAGUACACCAAAUCCUUCUCUGAUACGAACCAGAGGAUGUUUAAUCAUUUAUAUCUUUCCACCUGUAGUCUCUAAUGGCCUAACAUGGUCGACAUUGCAGAAAAACUACCAUGUCAAGAACCUUUUGACUAAAAUGUUUAUUAGUUUCAGUGACAUUUAUUCAUUCUUAUUUAGUUUUUAUUUAAUUUUACUCAACAAACUCUGUUUAGUCUGUUUAUGGGAAGGUUACAACUUUGAUGUUCAACAUACUGUUUCAGAAAUGCAAACAAUUAAAGAUACUGAAAUUUCAACUUCAUUUGGCUGGUUUUAUGCUGUUUAAUUUAGCUUUAAAAAAAUAAAUAUUUGUAAAAUAUUUUUACAAAGAAUAUUUGUCAAAGGAAAUUUGAUUAUUAAAUUAGUUAUUAAAAUAGUUACAUUAUCUUUAAAAUUUCACAUAGGUUUGAUUCAGAUUCAGUUAGAUGGUCAGUUUACACCCACCUACUGACUCGGAUCAACUUACCCCUAACCUGGGGUAAAUUGAGCCAGAGGAGUACUUUUUUAUAAGAAGCCAUAUUUUUAGAACCCUUUGUCACAUAUGUAUUCUGAUCAUUUAAAAUGAUAGGAAACAUCCUGAAAUUACUUUAAAUACUUUCAUUGUACUUCUGCCUCAUUUUCCCUUAUCUUGAGGACCACAUAAGUAAAAAAAAAAAAAAAAAAAAAAAAAAAAAAAAAAAAGAAAGGCUCAUCUUACCCCACUCUCCCCUAUUACAAACCCAUAGUAGUAUUGUUGCUGUUGCACCAUUAAUGCAAAGACUAAUAAUCGUGUACAGUGUGGUCUUGGAAAUUAAUUGUCUUAGUUUAAUCAUUUUAAUCGGUCAGGAUUAGUUAACAUAUGCUUGAAUGUAGGAUGUAAUGCCAUGAGAUUAAUACAUGCUAUAUAUUUUUAAAACUUAUUAAACUCACGACAAUAUUAUGUAUCUCUCACGACUUUAUAUCCCGCAUUGAAGCAUGUAUUGGGAGUUUAGUUUUUUUUUUUUUUAAUGAAUAAAUUAUAUAACUAAUGUUCGUCGUGUGGUGAUACGAGCAGGGGAAUUUCUGAAUGAGUAGCUGCGUACCCUGUACUGUAUGACAGCUCGUGAAAUAAAACCACCCCCCGGUAAAUUCGAGCAACGGUCUGAGUGGAUGUAAGCUACAAACAAGCAGAAAUUAAUUUCUUUGUAGAUUAUACAACAGCAACUUGGAAAACAGACAACAGAAAAGGCACCACCCACUCCCGCUUGGAAACCAAUCAAAUGUUUAAACAUUUUUUAGCGCUAUUAUCAAUAUCCCGCCCCCUCAUCGUGCGACCUCGUGCAUCAUCAUCAUCAUCAAAGUCGUCAAUCACCAGAAUACCCAAGUCCCACCAGUGUGCCCAUCCAAGAUGAAUUUGUUUAUCGAGCAGAAACUGCCUCACUCAUUGAAGAAUUGGAGCAUAUCCUUAAUGACGAAUGUGUUCAGCCUGAAGAGGUGUCUUUGGCCACAACCUGGCAAAAGAGGCAAUCCCUAAGCCAUGAAAGAUGGCACAUUGCAAGGGAGGCCAUGGUUAAGAAUCUUUUGGCAGCUGACUAUGUUUAGGAACGCAUCUGCCAACACUGUCUUACUGCAGAGGCCAUUGUACGGUGCAGGGACUGUCUACCUAGGCAGUUUCUAUGCACCGUGUGUGAUGGAGAUGCUCAUCAGCACCGACCUCUCCAUAACAGAGACUCUAUGGCCCAUGGGUUCUUCAAGCCAUUGUGUCCAACCACUGCAGUGAAGAGACAUUCCGAGGCCAUUGAGUUCUCUGAACAGGUCCGAUAUCUUCCACUACUUUUGCCAGAGAAAAUUUGUGCCUGUUCAGAAAGUUCCUGCAGGUUGAUCAGUGGCAAGCCCAUUAUUGUAAUAAAUUUUAAUGGACGGUACAAUCUCACCCUUCCAUCACUAGAGACCUCAUGCUGCGGAAAACAUGGGCAGUGGGGCUCAGUGAUCUCCUCAAGUCUGGGUACUGGCCAGCCUCUAUACAUUUUAAGACCGUGUAUGAGGCUGGCCUUUUUAGGUCUUUUCUGGAUUUAAAACUUUUUGCUCCAGGUCUUUCACGUCAAGCGUUCCUUGGAAUGCUUGACCGGAGAACAGAGUAUAAUGGCAGGAGUGGUAAAAUAUGUGGAGACACAUUCCAGAGAGCCUUGCUGGAGUGGACCUUUGCCCAGCAUGAGGUUGAGAGGCUUUGUGGUGUACAGCCAUUUAAAUGUCCUGCUUGCAGUCCUUCCAUGCAUGCCAUCUCAGUGGAUGGUAACAGGAAGCUGUACAGGUUCCAUAAUGCACAUGGGUAUGUUUUUUUCUUUAUUUUUUUAUUGUACUACUUAACUGUCUAUAUUGUGUUUCUCUUUCCAAAUAAAAUUAAGCACAGAGAAGGGCUACUUCGAUGGGACAUUUAUAAUGAAGGAUGAAGGUGUUUCGUCCUUUGUGGGAUAUGUUCAUGAAAAGACCAAGCAUGCCACAGGUAAAGGGGUGUGUGGCUCUUCUCAAUGGACAGCAGCCAAGGAGUCUGCAAAAAAGUCGACAUCAAAGAUUGAUGAGGAAGGCCUUGAGAUUGCUAUGUGCCGACAUGGAGGACUUUUAAAAGGCCUACAUAUGUUCAGAGGGGAAAUAUUUGCUUAUUCCCUGUUCCUUCAAAACACCCUCUCAAAAGAAAAUGUGUCAUCCUUCUGCUCAGAUGUCGCCUGCAAGUACUGGCCAUACUUAAAGAGAGUGGUGGGACACUGUCCAGAGCUAAGGCCUUUAUUAAAUAUGCGCCCACUAUUAUCAGAUAUGCAUGCCAAAGCACAUGAGUGGAGUUGUGAGGUAAGAUUCUUUCUUUACAUUAAAUUCUAUUAAUGAUAUUUUUGUGGUAUGGAAAUGUACUUUUAUUUGAACAGCCAUUGUUUGUUUUUUUUGUUUGUUUUUUUUUAGAUAAAAUGGUCUGGAAGAAACCAAGAGGGAGCUGGUCUUACAAUUGGAGAAGAGGUGGAGCAAGUCAACUCCUUCUUGUCGAGAGCUGCAAUUGGCACUAAAUACAUGUCCAAACCUGGCCUCACAGAGCUAUCGGAUUUAAACAGAAAUAUCUCAAUUUGCGUUUCGAAGAUUAACGAAGGUCUUACGGGUGUGGAACAGCAUAAGGGUAAUGGCAACCUCUCAACUAAGAAGAUGGUCUUUGACCGGUUCAUGAUGCUUUUCCGACUGAAGGAGGAGGAGCAGAUCAUAGUGAUGGAGGUGAAGCAACACUGGCAAUCAUUGAAGGAAGCUGAAUGUUCCCUGAGGGAUCUCUCAGUUCAAAUACAAACUAACAACAGUGACUUUGAGCUUUCAGAGGAGAGCGCCAAUGGACUACUGUGCCUUCUCAAGAGAAAACUGUAAGACCUUCAGUUUCUGCAAAAUAAUGCUAGGAUGUUAUACCGACAAUGUGUUCUGGGACAGGCUUCGGACAGCAUUCUAUUUGAUAACAUUUCCGAUGAAGAAACUGAGGCAGUAAACUACAGCUCUGAUGAAACAGACAGUGAUGAGGACUAAACCUGAGUAUAUAGAAUAGACAGAUACUGAAGAACUAUUUUAAUAAGCUGUAUUUCUUUUUUUUUUUUUUUUUUUUUCACUGUGAGAAACAUUUUAGCAUAUUAACAGAAUCUAUUUAAUAUUUUCCCAUCCUAAUGGAAAUGAGAUUAAGGUUCAGCAUGUAGCAAGAAAGCAUGAGUUAAGUAUUACAAGCAAGGCCCAACACUGGAUAAGGAUGUGUUGUAAUAGUGCAAUGAAGUGUCACAAUAUGUAUUGGUUGUUUAAUUUGGUGUCUUUGUUUACUGUCAACACUGUAUUCUUGUUCUUGUUCUAAUUAAAUAAAUGGAAGCACAUUCCAAAUGGGCAUUUAUGAUGAUUUUUGGGGGUCUGUUCUUGUUCUGUUCUGUUAACUAUGACUGGAUGAACUUGCAACAAUUUACAUAAUGGCAAGCUGUUAAAAAGACAAUGUAAUUGUGAUUCAACACACUUUGUUGUCCAUGAUGAGAAUAAUGUUGGACACAGUUUUCAAAUAGCCUAUAUAUGAAAAGGUGGCACAAAGGUGUUUUAAAAAGUGUUCAUAGUAAAAUAUCAAAUUUCAUCCUGCCUUUCAAAUAUUUCAUAGAGGUUUGCACAAUGAACAUGAUUAAAUAUCCCUUUGUUUAUUAAAGAUAGUACUUUUUUCCAGUUUGUUAUUAAACGUUUUAAACUACACUACCCAUAAGCCUCUGUCAUUAUAUCGAAGGAACGCAAAAAUAUGGCGCUGUCAGAGGUGUAAAGUACUUAAGUAAAUGUAAUUAGUUACUGUACUUGAGUAUUUUUUUGGCUACUUUGUAGUUGUACUGAGUAUCAAAUAUAUUGGCAACUUUUACUCUCUACUUGACUACAUUUUUGAGCAAGUAAAUAUACUUUUUACUCCACUACAUUUGUGAUGAGUAAUGCAAUUACAAAUUACAUUUUUCAUGGCAGCUAACUUUUUCUGCAGCAGUUUGUUUCUGAUUUAAAGAAGCGAUAUCACCAUCUAAGGGCAUUGAAGGUACUAUAUCUUGUGCAUUUUGUCAGCAAGGCUACUUUACGUGAAUGUGAGUGCAGGUAGUUGCUGAUCGCAGGUGUUUUAUUUAUUAGAUGAGGAAAUGACUGCAGCUGGUGAUGAGGCUCAAACCAGCACAUUCAGUAGACUUUGACUAUUUAAUUUUACUUAACAUUGUUUUAUUUAUCCGCUAUAUUGACAAGACCGUUUUGAAGGAUAUUGGUUUACUUAUGGCCUUUUUGUGCACUUGAGCUUAACUGAGACUUUUAAUUUUGAGUUUGUAGACGUU
Long non-coding RNA from Ctenopharyngodon idella (grass carp), 7802 nucleotides. RefSeq lists it as uncharacterized. The transcript is spliced from 11 exons. Lineage: Eukaryota; Metazoa; Chordata; Actinopteri; Cypriniformes; Xenocyprididae. The record is from RefSeq and is a predicted model, not a curated record.